UACGAAGGGGGCUAGCGUUGCUCGGAAUUACUGGGCGUAAAGGGCGCGUAGGCGGACAGUUUAGUCAGAGGUGAAAGCCCAGGGCUCAACCUUGGAAUAGCCUUUGAUACUGGCUGUCUUGAGUUCGAGAGAGGUGAGUGGAAUACCGAGUGUAGAGGUGAAAUUCGUAGAUAUUCGGCGGAACACCAGUGGCGAAGGCGACUCACUGGCCCGAUACUGACGCUGAGGCGCGAAAGCGUGGGGAGCAAACAGG
Molecule: ribosomal RNA, 253 nt
Filed under: uncultured bacterium
Lineage: Bacteria
Description: partial 16S ribosomal RNA
Rfam family: Bacterial small subunit ribosomal RNA
Source: RNAcentral